This 382-nucleotide ribosomal RNA is filed under the name uncultured eukaryote. RNAcentral's name for it is "partial 18S ribosomal RNA". It matches the Rfam family "Eukaryotic small subunit ribosomal RNA", at positions 592 to 976 of the family's 1831-position model. The record is from RNAcentral.
CAAUAGCGUAUAUUAAAGUUGUUGCAGUUAAAAAGCUCGUAGUUGGAUUUCUGGUUGAAGCGACCGGUCGGGCGUUGAUUCGUCUGCACUGGAGUCGGUUUUGGCCAUCCUCUAGGAAAGUGCGUCUGGUAUUAAGUUAUCGGGCGUAUGAUCCUGGUCUUUUACUGUGAAAAAAUUAGAGUGUUUAAAGCAGGCCUUCGCCUUGAAUACAUUAGCAUGGAAUAAUAAGAUAGGACUUUGGUCUAUUUUGUUGGUUUGCAGACCGAAGUAAUGAUUAAUAGGGAUAGUUGGGGGUAUUUAUAUUCCGAUGUCAGAGGUGCAAUUCUUAGAUUUUCGGAAGAUAAACUUAUGCGAAAGCAUUUACCAAGGAUGUUUUCAUUAA